Molecule: ribosomal RNA, 459 nt
Filed under: Lipomyces tetrasporus
Lineage: Eukaryota; Fungi; Ascomycota; Lipomycetes; Lipomycetales; Lipomycetaceae
Description: partial 26S ribosomal RNA
Rfam family: Eukaryotic large subunit ribosomal RNA
Source: RNAcentral
UUGGAUUGGUCCUUGCAUAUGUUCCUUGGAACAGGACAUCAUAGAGGGUGAGAAUCCCGUUCAUGGUGGGGAAUCCAAUUCUUUGUAAAGUGCUUUCGAAGAGUCGAGUUGUUUGGGAAUGCAGCUCUAAGUGGGUGGUAAAUUCCAUCUAAAGCUAAAUAUUGGCGAGAGACCGAUAGCGAACAAGUACAGUGAUGGAAAGAUGAAAAGAACUCCGAAAGGAGAGUGAAAAAGGACGUGAAAUUGUUGAAAGGGAAGUGCUUGAGAUCAGUCUUAAGGUUUAGUGAUCAGUCUUCCUUUUGGUUGGUGCACUCACUAUUUCUUAGGCCAACAUCAGUUUUCGCGGCAGGAUAAUGACAUUGGAAUGUGGCUUUUUCCGGGAGUGUUAUAGCCUUUGUUGAUACUGCCUGCUUAGACUGAGGACCGCGCUUUUGCUAGGAUGUUGGCAUAAUGAUCUUA